RNAcentral lists this ribosomal RNA (761 nucleotides) under uncultured bacterium. RNAcentral's name for it is "bacterial SSU rRNA". It matches the Rfam family "Bacterial small subunit ribosomal RNA", at positions 1 to 806 of the family's 1533-position model. The record is from RNAcentral.
UUCGCCCUUAGAGUUUGAUCCUUGAUCAGAACGAACGCUGGCGGCAGGCUUAACACAUGCAAGUCGAACGCCCCUUUCGGGGGGAGUGGCAGACGGGUGAGUAACACGUGGGAACGUACCUCUUUGUUCGGAAUAACUCAUGGAAACGUGAGCUAAUACCGGAUACGCCCUUUUGGGGAAAGAUUUAUCGCAGAGAGAUCGGCCCGCGUCCGAUUAGCUAGUUGGUGAGGUAAUGGCUCACCAAGGCGACGAUCAGUAGCUGGUCUGAGAGGAUGAUCAGCCACACUGGGACUGAGACACGGCCCAGACUCCUACGGGAGGCAGCAGUGGGGAAUAUUGGACAAUGGGGGCAACCCUGAUCCAGCCAUGCCGCGUGAGUGAUGAAGGCCUUAGGGUUGUAAAGCUCUUUUAUCCGGGAAGAUAAUGACUGUACCGGAAGAAUAAGCCCCGGCUAACUUCGUGCCAGCAGCCGCGGUAAUACGAAGGGGGCUAGCGUUGUUCGGAAUCACUGGGCGUAAAGGGCGCGUAGGCGGACGAUUAAGUCAGGGGUGAAAUCCCGGGGCUCAACCUCGGAAUUGCCCUUGAUACUGGUUGUCUUGAGAUUGGAAGAGGUAAGUGGAAUUGCGAGUGUAGAGGUGAAAUUCGUAGAUAUUCGCAAGAACACCGGUGGCGAAGGCGACUUACUGGUCCAUAUCUGACGCUGAGGCGCGAAAGCGUGGGGAGCAAACAGGAUUAGAUACCCUGGUAGUCCACGCCGUAAA